GACAGAGGUCCCAAGCGUUAGGCGGAAUCACUGGGCUUAAAGCGUGUGUAGGCGGAUUUGUAAGUACCUUGUGAAAUCCCACGGCUCAACCGUGGAACUGCUUGGUAUACUGCUUAUCUUGGGCCAUCUAGGGGCUACCGGAACAAGUGGUGGAGCGGUGAAAUGCGUAGAUAUCACUUGGAACGCCAAUGGUGAAAACAGGUAGCUGGGGAUGUGCCGACGCUGAGACACGAAAGCCAGGGGAGCGAACGGG
This 253-nucleotide ribosomal RNA is filed under the name uncultured bacterium. RNAcentral's name for it is "partial 16S ribosomal RNA". It matches the Rfam family "Bacterial small subunit ribosomal RNA", at positions 524 to 776 of the family's 1533-position model. The record is from RNAcentral.